GAGUGGCUAUCGCGCCUAACCUUUGAAAUUGAGCUGCUUCUCUCUCUUGUUCCUUAUCUGGUUCCGGCCAGUGGCUUGGAAGCAAGCUACCCGCGCUAUAUAGAGGGAGAAGAGCAGCAGGAUUGAAGAAGCUGGUUCAAAGCUAAGGUAUCAAUCGGCUUUCUUUCCGUCUUCUUUUCUGCCAGGGGUAGAUGCCUUAGAUUAAGAAAGUGCCAGUGGAUUGGAAGCAAGCUACCCGCGCUAUAUAGAGGGAGAAGAGCAGCAGGAAUGAAGAAGCUGGUUCAAAGCUAAGGUAUCAAUCGGCUUUCUUUCCGUCUUCUUUUCUGCCAGGGGUAGAUGCCUUAGAUUAA
This 350-nucleotide long non-coding RNA is filed under the name Nicotiana benthamiana. Its description in RNAcentral is "long non-coding RNA (NBEN_LNC011303)". Lineage: Eukaryota; Viridiplantae; Streptophyta; Magnoliopsida; Solanales; Solanaceae. The record is from RNAcentral.